GGACCCGCACAAGUAGUGGAGCAUGUGGUUUAAUUCGAAGAUACGCGCAGAACCUUACCAACACUUGACAUGUUCGUCGCGACUUUAAGAGAUUAAAGUUUUCGGUUCGGCCGGACGAAACACAGGUGCUGCAUGGCUGUCGUCAGCUCGUGUCGUGAGAUGUUGGGUUAAGUCCCGCAACGAGCGCAACCCUCACUUUUAGUUGCCACCAUUUAGUUGGGCACUCUGAAAGAACUGCCAGUGAUAAGCUGGAGGAAGGUGGGGAUGACGUCAAGUCCUCAUGGCCCUUACGUGUUGGGCUACACACGUGCUACAAUGGCAUUUACAAUAGGAAGCAAGAUGGCGACAUCAAGCAAAUCCUAAAAAGAUACCUCAGUUCGGAUUGCACUCUGCAACUCGAGUGCAUGAAGCUGGAAUUACUAGUAAUCGU
RNAcentral lists this ribosomal RNA (430 nucleotides) under uncultured bacterium. Its description in RNAcentral is "bacterial SSU rRNA". It matches the Rfam family "Bacterial small subunit ribosomal RNA", at positions 917 to 1345 of the family's 1533-position model. The record is from RNAcentral.